AUUGAACGCUGGCGGCAGGCUUAACACAUGCAAGUCGAGCGGGGGAAGGUAGCUUGCUACCGGACCUAGCGGCGGACGGGUGAGUAAUGCUUAGGAAUCUGCCUAUUAGUGGGGGACAACAUCUCGAAAGGAACGCUAAUACCGCAUACGCCCUACGGGGGAAAGGGGGGGAUCUUCGGACCUCUCGCUAUCAGAUGAGCCCAUGUCGGAUUAGCUAGUUGGUGGGGUAAAGGCUCACCAAGGCGACGAUCCGUAACUGGUCUGAGAGGAUGAUCAGUCACACUGGAACUGAGACACGGUCCAGACUCCUACGGGAGGCAGCAGUGGGGAAUAUUGGACAAUGGGCGCAAGCCUGAUCCAGCCAUGCCGCGUGUGUGAAGAAGGCCUUAGGGUUGUAAAGCACUUUCAGUGGGGAGAAAAGUGAUUCACCUAAUACGUGAGUCAAUUGAUGUUACCCACAGAAGAAGCACCGGCUAACUCCGUGCCAGCCGCCGCGGUAA
This 500-nucleotide ribosomal RNA is filed under the name uncultured bacterium. Its description in RNAcentral is "partial 16S ribosomal RNA". It matches the Rfam family "Bacterial small subunit ribosomal RNA", at positions 30 to 523 of the family's 1533-position model. The record is from RNAcentral.